This is a non-coding RNA of Oryza sativa Japonica Group (Japanese rice), 3743 nucleotides long. NCBI's taxonomy places the organism in Eukaryota, Viridiplantae, Streptophyta, Magnoliopsida, Poales, Poaceae. The record is from RefSeq and is a predicted model, not a curated record.
GUCCCUCUCCCUCUCCAGCGCCGCCACCGAGCGGCUCGCGCCGCCGCCGCCGCCGCCGCCACCCCUCGCGCCGCCAUCCCCACCAUCGCCGUCGCCGUCGCCUCGCCUCGUCACGGCCGCCUCCGCCAUCGCCUCCGCCACCUCCACCAUCGUCGUCGUCGUCGCCGUCGCCACCCCUCUCCCACCAUCGUCUCCGCCAUCGUUGUCGCCGUCGCCUCGCGCCACCACGGCCGCUGCCGCCUCCGACUUCCCCGUCGCCUCGCGUCGUCGUCGCCGUCGCCCGCCCCCGCCACCAUCUCCGGCCCCCCAAACCCUAGCCGCCGCCGCCCGCUCGUUCCGACGGGGAUUCGGAGGGGUCGAAGGGAGGAAGAGGCGGUGGCGGUCGGCGAAGAGGAUGACGAUGGCGACGGCGGCAGCGGCGGAGGAGGCGGACGCGGCGGUGGGAGAUGGAGACGGUGGUGAUGGCGGUCGGCGAAGAGGACGACGAUGGUGACGGCGGCGGCGGAGGAGGAGGCGGAUGCGGCGGCGGGAGAGCGAGACGGUGGUGAUGGCGACGACCCCCGCACUCUCUCAUGGCAAUCUCGGGGGAGGUGUCGGGGACCACGGCAACGCUGGUGGUCAUCAAUGGAUUCACGGUCACGGUGGAGUCAGUCGGGGACUCGCGGUGCAUCCUGGACACGCAGGGUGGUGAGGUGUAGCUGCUGACCGUCGACCACUGCCUGGAGAAGAAUGCCGAGGAGCGGGAGCGGGUUAGCGCCAGUGGUGGGGAGGUCGGCCGGCUCAAUCUCUUCGGUGGUCAGGAGUUCUAGGUUGGCCCUCUCCGGUGCUAGACAGGUGGCAUGUGCCUUUCAAGAUCUAUUGGGGACCUCUUCCUGCCGCUCCCAUCAUCCCUAGUUGCCCGCCCCACAUCCCAUCAUCGACGGCGGCGUGGAUUUUGGUGGUCGCGCAGGUCUGGCUGACGAGCUCCAUGCCGGCUCGAAGCAGAUGGCGACCUCAACGGCAACGUGGAUCCAGGCUAGAGCUUGAUAAUGGCACUAAUCUGCCAACGAGCUUGGCGGCAACAUGCCCGGCGGCCGCCGUUAGUUCCUUACCCAGCGCCGUCUCCACCGUCUUCGCUGCCUCCACGGUCAUGGCCAGCGGCGGUUGACCAUGGCAUAUGCUCCGGCAGGCAAAAGCAGAGAGAUGGCCUUCCUCCCCUUUCUCUCCCAUCUCUCCUUAGAUUAAUCUCUCUCUCUCUCAGGCUGCCAUUGUUGUUCUUUUCAUGGAUAAAAUUGUUAGGGAUCGGCAAUAUUUCCUAUUCUAAUUGUGUCUUGACUGAAAAUUAGUUCGAUUAUAUUCAGAGCCCGUGGUUAGGUGAUCCGAGAUUGGUGCUUGCUGGCUGGAUUAGUCAAUUAGAAAAAGGUAGAUUUUGAUAUGCAGUAUUAAUUUGAUCUUGUGAUGAUCUUAGUUCUUGUACCCUGCCUUCCCUUGAGGCUACUUCUGGAUACCCAAGGCCCUAGCGCGAAGACGUGUGAGGGGGCUGCAGGUGAGUCGGGCUAUCGCCGUGGAGCGACCGUGGUGAAGCAGCAGCUCUACAGCGGCCGGAUCAGUGCGGUGGUCCGGUGGCUUUACGGUUGCUAGAGCUGUUGCUGUUUAGGGUCAACUAGGAGGCAGUGUCUGUGUGGUGAUUCAUCACAGUUGCGGCGGUCUCGACCUACAGCAUAUGUCCAUGAUCGAUGCGUGACAAGAGCCGAAAAGGAUCAUCCAUUGUUGAUGCAGUUUUUCAAGCAAGUGGAUAAGAGCAGCAAGUAUUAUGAAUUUCGCUGCAAAACUAGAUUAGUGAAACCAUCAAUCCUCCACUUUCAGAACCUAUACAAGGAAGGGCUCUUGGAGCAACUGCUACAGUCAACUGCUCUACUGGUUAGUUGGUCACUUGGUCGUCACUUGUCAGCCUGACGGUGCAGCAUCUAAAAGCUAACUUAUACAGUGUGCUUUAUCUCUGGUAUGGCUGACCUCAGUUGCAUUGAUGGAAAGUUUCAAGAUUUGUGCAGUCAAUGAUGGCAUCAUAAAUUGCGUGGAUAUGUUCUUUGACAUGAAAAAAGCUUGAUGUUAAGUACAGAAGAACCAGGGCAAGUCACUAACUUUAUGGUAUUGGAGUUGGAGUAGAAGAUCAGCAGCUCCAUCAUCGACGAUGGCCUGAUCCACAAAGAUGGAUUUUGGUGGUGAUACUUCCAGGGAGGUCUGCUGGGACAAGAAACCUUCGCCGGUGGAGGAUAGCUUAUGUACAAAAAGCACAGCUGUUACUGAAUGAAGCUGCUUCUUGGUCACAUCUUUGGUACCUCUAUGUGAAAGGCACUGACUACUUCCAAUCAAGUGGGUGUCCAUUUAGUUGCAACAAGCGGCGUUACGGCACAAUUAUAUCUGCAGAUUGUACUUUAGCUUGAGGGUCUGUACACAACUCAAAAAUAUCUAUUUUGGGAGCUCUACAUGAGGAAUAUGAUCAUAGGAUGGUAAAUGCAAGAAGCCAAAGCGGAAGUAUAAGGCUGUACUAUUGGGCUUUUCACAGAUCAAGAGCUGCAGGCUAGAUCUCUUUCUCAUCUGUGGCCAAAAACAUUCAAGAUGAAACCUCCAGAAGGACAAGAUAUUGGACUGUGCUUCAUUAGUUCUCUUCAAAGACCAAACGGGAGUUCUGACCAUCUCCUGAAAAAUAUUUCUUUGCAUAUUGGGUUACGAACCAAGGCUGGUGCUACUAGGAAAAUGUAAUAAGUUUUACUUUUGGGGUGUUUUCGGAGAGCUGCACAGAUACUAUAAUCAAACAGGUAAUGUUAAGAUUGGCAAUACCGACUCGUGAGACAAAUUUGAAGAUAUUGGCAUGAACUUGGACUUGACAAAUGGCAAAGAGUUAAAGAGAGGCAAAUGUGGGAGUUAAAAGAGAGGCAAAUGUGGGGUUGAGGUGUCAUUUGAGAGGCACAAAUGUAAGGAAACUGGCAAGAUUUUGGAGACACAAGACAAAGAAACAUAGAAGGGAAAAUGUGGGGAGAUUAGUAAUAAAUUGGAUGUGGCAGUUAGCAGGUAAAGAGAUAGGAUCAACAAAUGUAUGAAAAUGCUGAAGACUCCUGAUCCAAAUGCUGCGGCAAGCUCUUUAGGAUGGUAACAGCAAAGAAGCUGAAGGGCAAGGAUGAGGCUGUACUGUUGAGCUCUUGGCAACUCAAGUAAAAGGGGUAGAAGGCUCGGGUGAUUCAGGUGCUGCUGUUCAUUGUCGGAAUAAACACUGUGCCAACUGGUCUUCGGGCCUUGUCUUCUGGCUCUGAUGCAAGGAUCGUACGCCGUUGUUACACUGAGAGUUUCCAUUAUACUGGCUGGCCAUCCCCGCAAUGAAGCAUGUCCUUAUGAGGGGGAAAAGGGUCGGGUGAUCCAGGCGCUGUUGCUGCUCUUCAUUAGCGGGAUUAACACGCUGUGCCAAUUGUUCUUUGGAUCUUGUCUCCUGGCUCUGAUGGAAUGGUUGUACCCUGUUGUAGAUCUGUUAUUACAAAUAAUCUGGGAUUCAUAAAGUUCUUUGUUAGGCAAGGUUGCAUGCUUGGAUUGGAGUAGUUCCUGGAGAGUUUUGGUGCCUCGCCUGAAGUGUUUCCUGAGAUUUGCUUUGCUUGGAAAUGAAUGUAAUCUUUUUUUAUUGGCGGUUUUUGUUGGUUUGUAACUUACUAAAUACAUGUAUUGCUCAUCUGGUAAUUCAGACUCAAGUGAGUUAACCUAUGCUGAUGAUGUUA